This 3134-nucleotide long non-coding RNA is filed under the name Zea mays. Its description in RNAcentral is "long non-coding RNA (ZMAY_LNC004694)". The record is from RNAcentral. Lineage: Eukaryota; Viridiplantae; Streptophyta; Magnoliopsida; Poales; Poaceae.
CCCUCACGAGGUGUGUGUCUUCCAGCAGGGAGCUGCUCCUCUCUCCCUCACCUCUGCAACUCGGUGCGUCCUCUGCUCCUCCACCUGCAGCUCGCCCCAUCUCCUCCUCCACCAUGCGUCCAGUUCUGUCCCACCAUGGCCGCCCCUCCUCCAUCUCCUCCCUCCCUAGCAGGUGCCCAGGUUCCAUGGUCGCGCGCCCUAGCAUCCGCUCGCCCCUGCGCGCGCUCCUCCCCCAUGGCGAGCUCGCCCUCAACUCCCUGCCAUGGAGCUCGCCCCAUGUUCUGGACGCUAGCCCUCCUUUUUCUUUCUGGUGGCCGAACUCCUCCCCACAACAACAACAACACCUUCAUCCAUGGUGCCCAGCUGCUCCUUGGAGUCUAUGGUGAUGAUCUCUAUAUCCCUUUGUUGUUUUAGUGGUUCUUGUGCAUAUAGGUUCUUAUUAAUACCAUGCUGAUGUGAUGUUUUAUGUGUGUUUAUGUGUGCGAUAUGGAGUAAAAAUCCCUGGAGAAUUAAGUGGAGAAGAAGGUUAAGUUCAACGCUUCUUAGGUGUUCGAUGAUAUACCCCAACCAGGGAUCAUCGCUGUGUCUAUGGGUGCCGAAUCAAAAUUUUCGUUAUGGUAAGCUCCUUCGAAAUCCAUAUUAUUUACCUUGUAUGGUGGGAAGGGAUAGAGGUAUUGGUCGGGAUAGUAUCUUGCUUAUGUUCAUGUCGUAUGAAGGUAUUAGGCACUUGAUGAGGUGCAUCAUUGUAUGUAACAAUAUGGUUGCCAUUGCGAUUGGAGAGUAGACAUGUUAUGUGGUGUGCGAUGGAGUUAGGAUGGUGUAGGUGGGCGUGUUGAAAUACUUGUUUUAUAAGGUGAAUAUGUAUUUGUAAUAUUCUGAAAUCAAUUAGAUGUAUGCAUUGUGAUUGUAUUAGUAAUGUGAUAGGAGGAUUUUAGUAGGUUCCGUUGAUAUCACUUGGGAUACAUUGAUUUUGGUUUAAGUAGUAGCAUGGAUGCUCCAUCUGCUAGCUCAAAAGUGUGAUAUUGUAUUUAGCUUGUGUGGUGAACUAAUAUUGCGUAGGAUAAGUUUAUAAUUUUUAUCGGCUAUCUGACGGGCCUUAGCAGUGUUGUUGUGCUGAUUGUGUUUAUUUGGGAAGUUUAGCUCUAAAAUUACGAGUUUAUUUGAAAUGAUUUUGUGCACGAUUAUGAGGUGGACUAGUCCAUAUAUGUGAUUAAGUGGGUGAUUUUAGCUCUACUUUAAGAUAAGGUAUUAGAAUAUUUGAAGUGUCAAGAACAUAAUAAUUGUAGAAGCCAAAUAGGAGCUAAAUUAGUUAUUGUUGUUUGACUGCAUGUCCAGUUUUAACUACGCAUCUAGUUUAGUGAAGUAAACCAUGUUUUAUACAGAAAUGUUAUAUAGGAAAGUUGUAGAUAACUUUUUUUAUCUUACUUGUGUAAAAAUUUCAUGACCAUAGGUCUAGUAGUUUAGGAGUUAUGAUUUUUCCAAGUCCAGUUUCUGAAUCUGUCCAAAUUUUAUACAAAUUUCGAAAAUGACCUUGUUUGCCCAAAUUAAACUAAGAAUAGCCCUUAGUAAUUAUAUAAGAAUUGUAGUACUUUUCUUAAGCUUUCCAACAAAUUUUAGAUCACCCUUUUUGGUGAUCUAUAAGUUAAGUUACAGCUGUUUGAAGUGUGAUCUCUGAAUCUGUCCAAAUUUGGACAGUAUAGCCUUUCUCAUGUCUUUUGAACUUGAUAUGCAUUGAAUUAACCUGAGAUGUUUAUAGAUGAAUUGCAUACAAUUCUAUUAGCUUUUUAAAAAGUCUAGGAUCACCUGAUUUAGGUGCCUGAGACUACAGUUAAGGAUUUUUGAAGUAAGUAGUCGAAUUUUGUCCAAAUCUGGACAGCAUUAUCGUUUAAUACUGAUUGACCUUUCUAAGUGUCUAAUCUCAUGGUGAUGAUAAUACCAAAGUUGUAGAGGAUUUCUUAGGCUUUCCAUAAAGUCUUAGUUCACUAUUUUUGGAUGAAUGUUUUGUGAGUUAUGAGCAAAACCGUUGACUGUUGUGCUGCUGUCCAGAAAUUUUGCAAGUGUGAAAUUAAUUGAUUGAGGUUAUUCUUGUUUGACUAAGUAAAUUUAGUUAGUUCUUGAUUGGUGAAGUCUUGUAUUUGUUAAACUCAAGUGAACAAGUGUCCCAAGCUUAAUGUGCUAUACUAAGUAAUCUAAGGAAAGUAUGGAACACUUCUUAUAUUUCAUCUUGUAUGCUUUAGAUCUUUAAUUGUUGAGAAUGUAAAUUCUAUGGAACUUUAUGUUGUGUGAUACGUGUUCUACUUGUGUGAUUGAAUAGAAAUGUGAUGAUUUAUUAGUUGGUGUGUUACAAUAAGUUAAUUUGGGAAAGAAGUUUAGGAAACUAGUUAAGCUACUCAUAUCUUUAAUCUAUGUCUUAGGUGACUGUCAUUAGUGAACCUAAGUUCUAGUAAUCCUUUGAGACGUACUGCUUUCUUGAUGCUUGUGCCGGACCUUAUUGAAUUAGAAAGUUAGUUACAUGUGUUAUAUCACUUUUUCCAAGUUCUGAGUGUUAAAAAGUGACAAGUCUAAGGGUAAUAACCUAUCGGUGUUAUGCUUUAGCUUAAGGCUUGUGUUUAGUUAUGAUUUUCAAAUGUUUGAAUUAGGUCCCUCUAGCUCGAGGAUCAUGAUUGUUGUUAAUUCAAAGGUAUCUAGUGUUUGCCUAGGAGUUGUAAUGCCUUACUAGCAAUAUAUUACCCUCUUCGGCAUAGUGUUAUUAUCUUGUAUUGUUUAUGAUUAUUCUCACUCAUAUGCAUUAUGCAUAUCAAUUAGGUACGUUAAUUGAUCGCACGAUGUGGAGGAAAAGUGUUGGAUUAAUCUCAAAGUGAUGCUGACAAAUAAACCAGAGGAAUGGAUGAUCUGAUCAAGUGCCAGGAUGGAAGAUGCUCACCAAGUGGUCAUCAUCUAACCACACUAACCUAGUGUUAUCUCGGGCAAGCCCCAGUGCAUUUGCCACCUCCUUGCUGUUUUAAAAACUUUUAUCACUUAUAUGCUGCAUUAGGUGAUACGAGUUGUGUGAAUUAACAGUUGAUGCAUUACCAUUCUUUGGAAUUUGAUUACUAUUCCUUGAUUCAUGUUUAUAAAAGAGAACUAAAGAUGCU